RNAcentral lists this ribosomal RNA (450 nucleotides) under uncultured bacterium. RNAcentral describes it as "partial 16S ribosomal RNA". It matches the Rfam family "Bacterial small subunit ribosomal RNA", at positions 329 to 794 of the family's 1533-position model. The record is from RNAcentral.
UGCCAGACUCCUACGGGAGGCAGCAGUGGGGAAUAUUGGGCAAUGGGCGCAAGCCUGACCCAGCAACGCCGCGUGAAGGAAGAAGGCUUUCGGGUUGUAAACUUCUUUUAAGAGGGAAGAGAAGAAGACGGUACCUCUUGAAUAAGCCACGGCUAACUACGUGCCAGCAGCCGCGGUAAUACGUAGGUGGCAAGCGUUAUCCGGAUUUACUGGGUGUAAAGGGCGUGUAGGCGGGAGAGCAAGUCAGACGUGAAAUUCCAGGGCUCAACCCUGGAACUGCAUUUGAAACUGUUGGUCUUGAGUAUCGGAGAGGCAGGCGGAAUUCCUAGUGUAGCGGUGAAAUGCGUAGAUAUUAGGAGGAACACCAGUGGCGAAGGCGGCCUGCUGGACGACAACUGACGGUGAGGCGCGAAAGCGUGGGGAGCAAACAGGAUUAGAUACCCUUGUAAC